GGACGAUUAGCUCAGCUGGGAGAGCACCUGCCUUACAAGCAGGGGGUCGGCGGUUCGAGCCCGUCAUCGUCCACCA
RNAcentral lists this transfer RNA (76 nucleotides) under Salinivirgaceae bacterium. RNAcentral describes it as "tRNA-Val". It matches the Rfam family "tRNA". Rfam says of the family: Transfer RNA (tRNA) molecules are approximately 80 nucleotides in length. Their secondary structure includes four short double-helical elements and three loops (D, anti-codon, and T loops). The record is from RNAcentral. Lineage: Bacteria; Pseudomonadati; Bacteroidota; Bacteroidia; Bacteroidales; Salinivirgaceae. RNAcentral also lists the same sequence under 1 other name.